GCGGCAUGGGAUGGGGUCCGCGUCCCUAUCCAGCUUGUUGGCGGGGUGAUGGCCCACCAAGGCGUUGACGGGUAGCCGGCCUGAGAGGGUGACCGGCCACAUUGGGACUGAGAUACGGCCCAGACUCCUACGGGAGGCAGCAGUGGGGAAUAUUGCACAAUGGGCGCAAGCCUGAUGCAGCGACGCCGCGUGCGGGAUGGAGGCCUUCGGGUUGUAAACCGCUUUUGUUCAAGGGCAAGGCACGGUUUCGGCCGUGUUGAGUGGAUUGUUCGAAUAAGCACCGGCUAACUACGUGCCAGCAGCCGCGGUAAUACGUAGGGUGCGAGCGUUAUCCGGAUUUAUUGGGCGUAAAGGGCUCGUAGGCGGUUCGUCGCGUCCGGUGUGAAAGUCCAUCGCCUAACGGUGGAUCUGCGCCGGGUACGGGCGGGCUGGAGUGCGGUAGGGGAGACUGGAAUUC
Molecule: ribosomal RNA, 457 nt
Filed under: Bifidobacterium animalis subsp. lactis
Lineage: Bacteria; Bacillati; Actinomycetota; Actinomycetes; Bifidobacteriales; Bifidobacteriaceae
Description: bacterial SSU rRNA
Rfam family: Bacterial small subunit ribosomal RNA
Source: RNAcentral